AACGAACGCUGGCGGCAGGCCUAACACAUGCAAGUCGAACGCUCGUAGCAAUACGAGAGUGGCAGACGGGUGAGUAACACGUGGGAACCUUCCCUAUGGUUCGGAAUAGCUCAGGGAAACUUGGGGUAAUACCGGAUAAGCCCUUCGGGGAAAGAUUUAUCGCCAUUGGAUGGGCCCGCGUCGGAUUAGCUAGUUGGUGAGGUAACGGCUCACCAAGGCAACGAUCCGUAGCUGGUCUGAGAGGAUGAUCAGCCACACUGGGACUGAGACACGGCCUAGACUCCUACGGGAGGCAGCAGUGGGGAAUAUUGGACAAUGGGCGCAAGCCUGAUCCAGCCAUGCCGCGUGAGUGACGAAGGUCUUCGGAUUGUAAAACUCUUUUGGCGGGACGAUAAUGACGGUACCCGCAGAAUAAGCCCCGGCUAACUUCGUGCCAGCCGCCGACCGUAAU
This 451-nucleotide ribosomal RNA is filed under the name uncultured bacterium. RNAcentral's name for it is "bacterial SSU rRNA". It matches the Rfam family "Bacterial small subunit ribosomal RNA", at positions 29 to 524 of the family's 1533-position model. The record is from RNAcentral.